GAAGACAGAAAAACCUAUCUUUAUUAUUAUUAAUUUGUGCACCCGUUUUAAGUUUCAUAUAAUACUUGUAAGAUAGUGAAAAUGAUUUUAAAAAAAUUAAAAUAUAAGUAAUAUAUAUAUUAUAAGUUUACCUUUGUGUUAUUAAUUAAUUUCAUUUCCCAUUUCACUCUUGUUUCGAAAAAUGUCACUCGUAUACACUCUCGAAGAAAAAGUAAUUUAAUCUAUAAAGAAUGAAGCUCUUAAUGCAUCACCAACUGAAUCCUGUUCGCGCUUUUAUUUAGAGACCUGCCGGGACGAUUGUAAUUCUUUUCACGGCAUUUAUUAUCGUAGCAGCACGAAGACACCGAAGGAAGAAACAACUUCAGCGUACCCAGCAAAAAGACGUUAAAACGUGGAUUACCAUAAAGAUACGCAGGGCCAGAACCGCGGGACGCAUUACGCGAGGAAUUAGGGGAGGGAAGCAUAACAAUUAGUCGCGGCUCUUUAUGGCGCACACGCUGCUGCUUCCGCGACAAUCAUUUUCAUAAUCCGACCGUCGGCUGCGCCUUCAUCGCGGGCCGCGCAUUAAAUCGUCAGUUUUGUCUUGGGAGGCUCGCUGCUUCGUAUCUUCGCGGCAUCGCGAAAAAGUCGUUUAAGUGCCGCUUUCAUCGCCAGAAGCUGUUGCAUAAAGGACAAACUCUCGUUGCAUCCGCCAUAAUCUCUCGUAAGUUUGUAUACAAGACGCUCUAAUUAAAGUGCUUACUGUCGCUCGUCGGGGCAACAGAAAAUAUGGCAUAAAAACCAAUAUAAGAGCGAGAAAAUGGCAAACUUUAAACGGGAUUUAUUAAAUUAUUAAAGCAUUAAAAUAUCCACUUUUUCAGGUCAGAAGUUCUACUUGGAAUUUCACUAAUAUGUAUUCAAUCUCAAAUGAAAAUAGAAUCGUGCCAUCAAGAGAUUAAAUUUCCCUCGAGAAAAAUUCAGCGCCAAAUUCCUUUGGCAGAAGUAGAACUCUGUUAUUGGUAUACUUCCUUUCUCAGAUCCACUCUACAGUUGACUUUCAGGUAAACUUCGCUAAUGGCAAGUUACCUUCAUAUCCACGUUAUCACAAAUAUUGCUCCGCGACUAAGGGAACGAUCGAACCAUAUAUUUUUUAAUUCAACGAUCCCAGAUUCUCAACUAUUAUGAAGCGCAUCGAUGUAUUAACGCGAUGGGGGGAAAAUCCGCAGUUUAUUAGUUCGACGAUCGCGCUUCUUUCGGCAACAAUUUUCCCGAGCAACAACGACCCGUGCGCCGCCGAGACGGAAAAAUAGUUCGCAUAAUUUCCCAGUUAUUUUCUCGAGGCUACAACUUUACGUUGCGCGAACGUUUAUUUUCAUAACGAUUAUACGCGCGCGAUUAUAUGUACCCUUUGCGAGUCGCGUGCGUCCGCGCCAAGGGAGGAGGGGGAAGAGGAGGAAGUAAAUUCCGCGAUUUUUACCGAGCUUCCGCAACGAGAGCUUUAUCGCAUUGAAGAGCAACGCACGCGUCUUGGGGAGAAAGGAGGGUGGAAACACGGCUUCGACGGUGUGCUCUUUAGCUUUUAUAUAACCGCCCAUAACAUCGCCCCCGUAUGCACGGCGAAACGAUGCGUUGGCUUCGCUGAAUGCCGUGCCCGUGCCCACGUACCACGGGAAAACUGGAUCCAGCAAUGUACAUACGAGAGAGAGAGAGAGAGGGAGAGAGAGAGAGAGAGAGGUGCGCGCCAAGGUACAUAGUCUAUUCAUGCGCGAAGUCUUCUACCGAGAGAAGCGAGCGCGGGGCUAGAAAAGUGAGAAGGUGUCGCCUGUACACGGGUAUCUAUUCCCGGCUUAACCGUGCCGCUUCCCAAGACCGAGGUCUAUAUACUACAAGAAAUCGCCGAGGAAAUAACGCGAAAGUUUAUCCCUUUCAUUCACUCACGCGGCAAAGUCAAAUGGAAUGGGUGAGCCGGUGGGAGCGGUUAAAAAAAAAAUUAUAUCUUCUAGAAAUAUGAAGGAAAAUGUAUUUUAGGGAACAGUAUUUUUCCACGAAUAUCCUUUAAUUAUAAAUACUUUAGAAAAUGAGAUAUGAUGAUAAAGUAUUAUAUAUUUAUCUAAGAGAAUUCAAAACUGUUACCCUUUUUUAAAGUACAGAUUUUAAUCCAUUUAUCUUUUCUCGGAGCUAACUUUCUUCUUCUAUGUAUGUAGAUCUUUUUAUAAAGAUCGAGCGAAGGUUGAUGAUCUCAUAACGUAACCGAUCCGAUAAUGAGACGUAAUUAAUCACCUUACGGAAUUUUUAGCGCUCCGUCCGGCUUUUUAUAAUCCAUUCCGCAGAAUGCGAGGCAAAAUAUACGUAGAACGAAUAUAUAUCGCGGUCCAAUCCUUUCGCGGACAAUGCCGGGACGUAAUUCGCGAAAGACGAACGGCGGAAUUUCCUUCGCGGGGUAAACCGGCGACUCGGCCGCGAUAUGGCCAAUAAAUUCGCCUGAUCGCGCUGGCGGCGCGGAAAGGGGGAGGAAAAUCGCAAUAUACAAUACUCCAGUGAAAUGGCCACCGAAGUGGAGGUCGCCGCUGCGACGAGAACGACGGCGUGUGCGCUGCACGGAAACUUCUUCUUUCUUCUCCUCUCCUCGGCUAUUAUCUUGCCAGUUUGUACCAGGUGCACCGGGGUAGAAACACCAUCGUCGUGCGGGGAACGGCAAAAGGGUGCUGCACGGGCGCUUGGUACGACGACAACGACGACGAGGACAACGACGACGACGACGACGACGAGGGAUGGAGGGAAUCGCACGGCGCACUCCUGCUUUACAUUUUAUUGCCCGACGUGGAUUCGACCGAUUUACAUAAAGAGACGAACGCUGUAGUUACAUUGGCGGACUGUGAAAGCGAGCGAAGGAGAGAAGGAGGAAGGGCGGAGGGGGUAGGCGGAGGUGGAGAUCGAGGGAUGUUUCUCGUGUCUCCUACCAGCUCUGAGAGGAGCUGCGUGCCGUUUGUCGCCCAGGACGAGAAAUUUGCGAUGCAGGAGACUGAUACUCUCCGGAAUUGCUGGAACGUAGGACGGCAGCGGAUAUUGUGCGUCCGACGCGACGGAAUGCACAGUCGUACGAUAACAGCGAGUUGUGGCGCAAUGAAAUAAGUGGCCUGUGACUUGCGGCAAUCGCGAUCGAUGAAAGUUUACGUAAUUGUACGUACGUGCAUGGCGCGUAAUUGACUCUGGUCGAUAUCAUGCGUGUGUAUUAUAUUUUAAGUGUUUUCUACUUGUAAAAGAUUUGAAAUAAAAUUUGUCUUGAUGCGA
Monomorium pharaonis (pharaoh ant) is the source of this 3270-nucleotide long non-coding RNA. RefSeq lists it as uncharacterized. The transcript is spliced from 2 exons. NCBI's taxonomy places the organism in Eukaryota, Metazoa, Arthropoda, Insecta, Hymenoptera, Formicidae. The record is from RefSeq and is a predicted model, not a curated record.